AGGAUAAUAAUUUAAAUAAAAAUAUUUAUUUAGCAAAUAAAAUAUAUUAAAUUCUUAUUAAUUUAUCUUA
This 70-nucleotide transfer RNA is filed under the name Acaciothrips ebneri. Its description in RNAcentral is "tRNA-Ala". The record is from RNAcentral. Lineage: Eukaryota; Metazoa; Arthropoda; Insecta; Thysanoptera; Phlaeothripidae.